GGGGAAUUUUGGACAAUGGGGGCAACCCUGAUCCAGCAAUGCCGCGUGAGUGAAGAAGGCCUUCGGGUUGUAAAGCUCUUUUGUCAGGGAAGAAACGGUCCGGGCUAAUAUCCUGGGCUAAUGACGGUACCUGAAGAAUAAGCACCGGCUAACUACGUGCCAGCAGCCGCGGUAAUACGUAGGGUGCAAGCGUUAAUUGGAAUUACUGGGCGUAAAGCGUGCGCAGGCGGUUGUGCAAGACAGAUGUGAAAUCCCCGGGCUUAACCUGGGAAUUGCAUUUGUGACUGCACGGCUAGAGUGUGUCAGAGGGGGGUAGAAUUCCACGUGUAGCAGUGAAAUGCGUAGAGAUGUGGAGGAAUACCGAUGGCGAAGGCGGCAUCCUGGACCGGCAUUGACGCUGAGGAGCGAAAGCGUGGGGAGCAAA
RNAcentral lists this ribosomal RNA (424 nucleotides) under uncultured bacterium. Its description in RNAcentral is "bacterial SSU rRNA". It matches the Rfam family "Bacterial small subunit ribosomal RNA", at positions 356 to 772 of the family's 1533-position model. The record is from RNAcentral.